RNAcentral lists this ribosomal RNA (603 nucleotides) under [Candida] boidinii. Its description in RNAcentral is "LSU rRNA". It matches the Rfam family "Eukaryotic large subunit ribosomal RNA", at positions 1 to 628 of the family's 3401-position model. Lineage: Eukaryota; Fungi; Ascomycota; Pichiomycetes; Pichiales; Pichiaceae. The record is from RNAcentral.
CCUCAAAUCAGGUAGGAUUACCCGCUGAACUUAAGCAUAUCAAUAAGCGGAGGAAAAGAAACCAACAGGGAUUGCCUUAGUAGCGGCGAGUGAAGCGGCAAGAGCUCAAAUUUGAAAUCUGGUACUUUCAGUAUCCGAGUUGUAAUUUGAAGAAAGUUAUCUUGGAGUUGGCCCUUGUCUAUGUUCCUUGGAACAGGACGUCACAGAGGGUGAGAAUCCCGUGCGAUGGGGUGCCCAUUCUAUGUAAGAUACUUUCGACGAGUCGAGUUGUUUGGGAAUGCAGCUCUAAGUGGGUGGUAAAUUCCAUCUAAAGCUAAAUAUUGGCGAGAGACCGAUAGCGAACAAGUACAGUGAUGGAAAGAUGAAAAGAACUUUGAAAAGAGAGUGAAAAAGUACGUGAAAUUGUUGAAAGGGAAGGGUAUUUGAUCAGACUGAUAUUCAGUUAACACUGUUCCUUGUGGACGGUGCUCUAGCUUUUUAUUGGGCCAGCAUCAGUUUAGGUGGCAGGAUAAGAACUGUUGAACGUGGCUCUUCGAGAUGUGUUAUAGCUUCAGUUGAUACUGCCUAUCUAGACUGAGGUCUGCGGCUUUGCCUAGGAUGCGG